CCUCCCUCCCCUUCUCUCUUUCCAUCCUUAUGACGUCACUACCGGUCCAGGCCUUCCUUCAUGUCAACCAGUUCCUCUCCAAAAUGGUAAGUUUCUCUUCUUCUCUGCUCGACCUCCAAUAUUAUUUUCCCAUCGAUAUUUUACAUAAAUUCAACUCAAACCAAUUACUCCAAAUAUUCUAAUUAAUUAUCAAACUUCAAUUAACCCCAAUCACGAAUAUUUCGCUCCUAAUUCAACAAAAACCUAUUCUUUUUCAGCAGUAAAUUCUCCAAUUUUCCCGAAACCGCUUCAAAUUGUUACACGUUGCAUAAAAACACACAGACACACACACACACGCCUUCUUUCAUGCAUCUCUGCCUUUAUAAUGUCCAUGAUAUCGAUGUUGAUGUUAUACUACACUAACCAACGUUAUUUCAAAAGAUUACGUGAUUUUAAUGUAAUCGUAGACGUUCCAGAAGUGGCCACCACGAUUUUUAUGCAGACAGCGGCGUAUCAAGCAUUGAAUGAAUGCAUCUUAUAAUACAAGUACGGUUGUUGCUUUGCCCUCCCCUUCACUCAUCGGGUCAGCUGUGGAUUAAGGAGACCCACGACCCAAAAGGCAUUCCAUCCAUGACCGUCCUGUUUUUAAGGAUAUGUUGCACUAUAUAUAAAUGUGGGAAUCGGAAGAAAUUUUCAAGGAAAUAAAUUGUAAAGAAGUGAAAAAGUUAUGGAGCGGGGUUAAAUGUUUCGAAACUCUGCCGGUGUGUGGUUCGAGUGAAGAUUUGUGUGCUAUUUCUAGCAGGUCGAGUGACCACGUAGACGCUCCGUUCUUUUACACGUAUACUAUUGUUGGCGAAUACGCAUACCUGGGUGUUUAGGGUUCUGAUUACGCUGAAAACGGGUGGUGUGCAUGUUCUUUACCUCCGCCCUAUUGUUGUUACAUAGCUCCAAGUCAGCCCCGAUCAAACCGACCCACAAUUUAAUGUCGUUCCAUCCGUGACCAUUCGUUAGAAAGAGAGAGGGCGGAUAUUAAGUUAGCCAGUGUUACUAUUUUUCAAGUUAGUAUAAGAUGUGAAUUGAAAAAGAUUUGGUCGCUAUUUCUAGUAUGUUGAAUGACUGCGUUGGCCGUUUAUUUGGUCCCACGUCACCUCUGGCACGACAGAGACGUUCCAGUUAAUGCCCACCAAGUGUUUUAUCCAAACUAUAUCUAAGAUUAGUACAUGUAAUGAAUCUCGUUUAACCCUUAAUCAGCCCCACGGAUCUUUUCGGUUUGAACGGCAGUUAUUUAAAAUAAUUUCCACGUAACUAAACACUUUUAAACUUCGUAUACUGGUAGAAUGUGUUUAUAAAACAUCUUUUUCUCUUGACUUUCAUGAGAAAAUUCUAUUGUUUGUAAGAUAUUUGGUGUUUUUUACUUCAAUUUUUGCAAUUUAAACCAAUCACUGACGUUCAUUGAGGUAAAAAACAUUCUGUACCGUAUGAAUAUGUCCCUCGUUUAAGAAACAGAUUGGGUUUAUUUACAUUUGUGAAGAAAACCAGAUACCCUUCCCCCCAACUCUAACUAACCCUAAAAUAGAUUGAAAUGCAAUAGAUCGAUACUAGGGUCAUAAUUAUGGGUGACAAUUUCAUAUGACACCGCUUGAAAAAACUGCCGUUCAAACCGAAAAGAUCACGGCCCCACUCCAACGAAAAUUGGACGAAAGACGCUCCAGCCACGACCACCAGGCUUUUAUUCAGACAUAAUAUACCUAGGACUAUGUUAUCGAAUGUGACCUUCCUUCCCAGGUUAACUUUGGUCAAGCUGACUUAUGAUCAAAGACAUCCUACCUGUGACCAACCUGCCUUUUUUUCUCAGACAUAGUUUAGUUUAGACUACAUUAUCAAACAUGUUCUGUUUUUUUUUUAAGACGGUUGUGUAAGUUUGAGGGCAAUUUGGCUGUUAUAUCUAGCAGCUGAGGUUUAUCAUCUGUAGUCUACCCUCUACUCGUGUAACAUCACUUUAUGUCCCCUUUUCCAUGCUGGCUUGGGUUGGACAGGUUUUUCUGAGACAAAAAAUUUGCUUUCAUUUCGCAGGUGCAGUGUGACUGGUAAGAUGCUUGCUUCUCAACCACACGGUUCCAGGUUCAGUCCUACUGUGUGGAUCCUUGAGAAAGUGUCUUCCUUGGGCUGACCAAAUCCUUGUGAGUGGAUUUGGUCGACUGAAAUUGAAAGAAGCCCAUCAGUUAUAUAUAUAUCAUCAUCAUUUAGCGUCCGCUUUCCAUGCUAGCAUGGGUUGGAUGGUUCAACUGGGGUCGGGGAAGCCAGAAGGCUGCACCAGGCCCAGUCUGAUCUGGCAAUGUUUCUACGGCUGGAUGCCCUUCCUAAACGCCAACCACUCUGUGAGUGUAGUGGGUGCUUUUUACAUGCCACCGGCACAGCUGCCAGACGGGGCUGGCAACGGCCACGAUUGGAUGGUGCUUUUUACGUGCCACCGGCACAGAGGCCCAUCAAUGUCAUUAUCAACAUCUGGCAUGGGUCAGACAGUUUGACCAGAGUUGGCAAGCUGGAGAGCUGCACCAAGCUCCAGUCCGAUUUGGCAUGGUUUCUACAGCUUUGUCCCCAACCACUGCUUGGCAACUGGUGCUGAUGUGUUAACAGCUCCAUAACUUAGCAGUUUGACAAAAGAGAAUGAUAAAAUAAGUACCGGGCUUAAAAGAAAAUAUAAGUACAGGGGUUGAUUCAUUCGGCUAAAAAUUCUUCAAGGCGAUGCCCCAGCAUGGCCACAGUCUGAUGACUGAAACAAAAGAAUAAAGGAUAUUACCAGAUACCUUUCCUGUCACCAAGCCUAUCAUUGCUUCUUUAUAACUCACAAAGACAUGGUGUUCUUAUCCUAAAAGCAAUUAUAUUCAUAUGAGGGGCAGAACUGGAAGGUUGCAUUGUAUGUUGUCUUACUCAGACGUAGUCUACUUAGCCUUACAUUAAGCAAUGUGACCUUCUUUUAUAAAAAGAUGAUAGGUGUGUAUUUGAGGAGAUUUUAGCUGGUAUUUCUAGCAGGUUUCUGCAUUUGUUUAUGCAAAUAUCUAAUACACGUGUGUAGAUGCAGGCAAGACUAUGGGGUUAAUAAGCCUGCUUUCCAAAUACAUGGUUCUGGGUACAGUCCCACUGUGUGGCACCUUGGGCAAGGGUCUUCUGCUAUAGCCCCAGGCUGACCAAAGCCUUGUGAGUAGAUUUGAUAGAAGCAAGCUAAAAUAUCCUGUCAUAUAUAUGCAUGCAUGUUUGUUUUUCUUUGAGUUUUAUUCAAAGCGAAGGGACUUCUCAUUGUUUGUAAAUAUGUGGUUGAAUUGAGUUUGAACUCUCAAUGCACACAGCUGUAUGUCUCUAUUUGGAGAAUCUUUGGAAUGUCUCACAGAUCUCCACUGUGCCACUUAUAGAUUGAAUUUGGAGAAUGAGCAUCAGUUUCUUAUUUUGUUCUUUCUUUAAAAAACAUGUAUUUCUAGGAUUUUGUGUAAAUUUGUAGAUGCAUAACCUAAUGCACCCCUGAUGAUAGGUACAAAUAAAAACUUAUUGCCAGGCUGCAAGGGCCGUAGGUUCCACAUUAGUUUGCUAUAAAUGUUCUCUUUUUUUCUGGAUGUUUGAUGGUACAUUUACAUCCGUUGGGCAGCUGACCAAUCAUUUUUACGUCCACUUUACAUACUGGCAUGAAAUGGACAGGUCAGGGUGCGGCUACUGCUGCUUGUUUGUUUGUUGAGCGAAUGGUCUUCGUCCCAGAGCUCGCAGUGGGAGAAGUCCGAAUCGUGGUGCUUUGCUAUUCGUAAAACCCGCAGAAGAGAAAGCAGGUCAACCCCCGACACCGAGAGCAUUGACGGAUGGAUGAAUGCGCAUCCAGGCUCAGCGGUUGUGUAGGAAGUCGGGGUCAAGAAACAGGAAGAAAGAGUGAGAGAAAGUUGGGGCGAAAGAGUACAACAGGGGUCGCCACCACCCCCUGCUGGAACCUCGUGGAGCUUUAGGUGUUUUUACUCAAUAAACACACAACGCCCGGCCUGGGAAUCGAAACCGCAAUCCUACAACUGCGAGUCCGCUGCCCUAACCACUGAGCCAUUGCGUCUCCUGCUACUGCUGCUCCCAACAGACAGAUGUUCAGGUGUGCCAUUUGGCCUGCUUUCUACAACUGGAUACCCUUACGGAGUGUACUGGAUGUGUUUUCUCAUGACACCUAUACUAGAGAGGUUGAUUAAAGGGAGCUCAUUCUCUGCUCAUUUGCCAACCACUUUACAUUGAAUUCUGGGUCCAUUUUUCUGACAGAAGUAUUAGAGAAAUUGUUCCACUCACUGGUCCCUUUUGAAUGGGGGCUGGAUUUAAAUCCUAAAUAUCAACCCUUUAGCAUUCAGUUUUCUCUGUCAAAUUCAAUGCUUAUUUAUUCACAUUGUUUUGGAUUAAUCCUGCAUUAUUUUAUAGCUUUGCAGUUUCAAUGAUGUGAUUGUUUAUUUUUAGAAUGGCAUUGUAGGAUAGGUGUGAGAGGCUGGAUCUGGCCAGUUUGAACAUAAAACAGGUUGAAUACCAUGGCUGGAUAUAACUGGUUUAAAUACUAAAGUGUUAAGUGUCAUAACUAAAUACCACCAUCAUCAUCAUUCAGCAUCCGCUUUCCAUGCUGGUAUGGGUUAGAUGGUUUGAGUGGAACUGGUUAGCUGGAGAGCUGUAACCAGCCACCAGUCUGGUUUGGUGUGGUUACUAAAGCUGGAUGGCCUUCAUAACGCCAACCACUCCAGGUGUGCAGUGGAUGCCUUUCACCUGUCACCAUCACAGGUGCUUUUUACAUGUCACCAGCACUGGUCAUGACUGAUUUCACCUGGCUUGGUGUCUCUUCUCAAACACAGCAAAUCACCAAAGGGUCUCGAUCACUUGUCAUCAUUUCUGUGAGACCCAACAUUUGAAGAUCAUGCUUCUGCUUCUGCAUCUCAUCUCUUCCUGGGUCUCCCUCGUCCACAGAUUCCUUCCACUGUAAACAGCUUCAUGGUGUGCUUUAUGAUCCAACAAAGGAGCUUCUACAUGGUUACUUGAUCUGCUAGAAAUUCCAACUAAAUCUCACUCAACUCUCAAGCAGCUUUAAAAAAAAAAUGAUGAGCAUCUAGGCUCGUGUAAUCUUCUAGAAUACAUUACUAUGUCUGAGGGAGGGGGGGAAUGCAGAAGUUAUGGUUGUGACUGGUGACCCUUUGCUCAUAGGCCUGCUUGAUCUACAUUGAUUUUGGACUAAACAGUAACAGCUUCUUAGAUUUGGUACUUGGUAUCUUCCUCAGUGACUGGUGUAGAGGCAUCGGUGAUCCGUAUCGGAGAUGGUAUGAUACAGCCAUUUUGGUACUGCCCAUUCAGCAUUUUUGAUUUGAUACUGAUUUAUUUGAUUGCAGACAUUUUAAUCAUCAUCGUUUAACGUCCGUUUUCCAUGCUAGCAUGGGUUGGACGGUUCAACUGGGGUCUGGGAAGCCAGAAGGCUGCACCAGACCCAGUCUGAUCUGGCAGUGUUUCUACAGCUGGAUGCCCUUCCUAACGCCAACCACUCUGUGAGUGUAGUGGGUGCUUUUUACAUGCCACCGGCACAGCUGCCAGACGGGGCUGGCAACGGCCACGAUCGGAUGGUGCUUUUUACGUGCCACCAGCACAGGUGCCAGAUGGGGCUGGCAAUGGCCACGAUUGGAUGGUGCUUUUUACAUGCCACCGGCACGGAGACCAGACGAGGCUGGCAAACGGCCAUGAUCGGAUGGUGCUUUUUACGUGCCACCGGCACAGAGGCCAGUUGGGGUGGCGCUGGCUACGGCCACAAUCGGAUGGUUCUCUUACAUGCCACCGGCACUGAUAUCACUACUACAAAUUCCAUUGAUGUUGAUCACUCUCUCUCUCUCUCUGGUAUGUGAGUGUAUUUCUCUUUAUGAGUAUGAUGAGAAGUGUUUGUUUCAAUCAUGUUCAGUUAAGACAUUGUAAUGUCUCACUCUCUCUUCCUCACACACACUCUCUACAUCUGUAUGUGUUUAUUCCUGUGUGUGUGUCUGUAUGUUUACCUCCAGUGCUAAAAAGUACCAGUGUUUAAAUAGCUGUGCUAAUCAUUUCAUUCCGGUCAGUGACGAGUGCCAAAAGGCCAAAAGAACUGCUCUAGAAAGAGCCUUUUGAUGCCAUUGCAGAGACAUCGAAAUUCUGACAGUAGCAGCAGUCAAUGAUUAUAGCCCAGCUAAUUAGAAAAAGUAUUAAUUGACUUAAAUGAGAUACAGUUUGGGUUUGUGCUAUGUUAGAACACCACUGAUGAGUGAGAUAAUUUUGGAGAAUUUCUCAGCCAAGAGCAAGCCACUAGCUUUUGUUGACCUAGAAGUGACCUUUGGUUGGAUUCCAUUUGUUUGUAGUCUUUGAGCUUACUAAGAAAACCAUUUGUAGAUGAAUGGUGAGAGCCAUGCAAGUCCUAAACAGGGUUGCUACCAGCAAGAUGAGAGCAAUGAGCAAAGGAAUUUGGAUGCAGGUUUUCAGCCCCAUCCAUCUCUAUAUAUGUAAACAGCAAAAUGUCUGUGUGCGUGUCCUUUAUACAAAUCCACAAUUUUUUAGUUAGAAGGCUCGCACUUUCUGUGGUCAUUCAAUACCAUCCAAGGGUGGUCGUGCACAUCUUUACAUCUCCCCAGUCACCCCGCAAAGCCAUUCAAAAAAUCAAUAGAAGUGACUUUUUUGUGAAUUUUCUAUCCAAAACCCAAUCAAAAUGCCCGAAACUUGAUACGCCAAUUGAAUGCCAGCUAGCUGUAUGUGAUUGGUCGGAGAUUUGGACAGUACUCGCGAGUAUGUGCGCACGCACGCAGAUGUAUAUGCAUGCACUAGCACUAUGACCCGGGUCAUAGUGCUAGUUUUAUUAUAAUUCUCUAAACCAGUGGUUCUCAACCAUAUUCUACCUGUGGAUCCCUUUCAAGCUUAUUUUACUCAGAUGGACUCUCACAACUAGUCCAUGUUUAAAUAAUGCUAUUUUAAUUUUUAAUUAUAUAUUACUAGGAAUUUUAUAAGAAAAUUAAAAUAUUUCGUGUAUUGUAGAAGCGUAACCAAUUUAUUGCACAUAAAUUUUAAUAACAAGAUCUUAUAGGGACCCACAAGCGUCAUACGGACACUGGUUAAGAACCACUGCUCUUGACUAUGAUUGCAGGUAAGCUCACCGUGAAGAAAGUUUACUGAGGAAAUAUAUCCAUAGUAUACUCUCUUUACUCUUUUACUUGUUUCAGUCAUGUGACUGUGGCCAUGCUGGAGCACCGCCUUUAGUCGAUCGCAUCGACCCCAGGAUUAAUUCUUUGUAAGCCUAGUACUUAUUUUAUCGGUCUCUUUUUUGCUGAACCGCUAAGUUAUGGGGACGUAAACACACCAGCAUCGGUUGUCAAGCAAUGUUGGGGGGACAAACACAGACACACAAACACGCACAUACAUAUAUAUAUAUAUAUAUAUAUAUAUAUAUACAUAUAUACGAGGGGCUUCUUUCAGUUUCCGUCUACCAAAUCCACUCACAAGGCUUUGGUCGGCCCGAGGCUAUAGUAGAAACACUUACCCAAGGUGCCACGCAGUGGGACUGAACCCGGAACCAUGUGGUUCGUAAGCAAGCUACUUACCACACAGCCACUCCUACGCCUAUCUCACCAUUAAGAGAUAAAAACUAUUUUAUUGGGGGAAAAAAACAGUGACUUGAUAACGGUGAACUUUCUAUGCAGUGAAUGGAUGACAAUGGGUUUCUUGGCCUUGCUUGAUGAUAAUUGAUUGGGUCUUCACCUAUGUGUGUUUGACUCAGAUGCUUUCAUAGUCAAAUUGGCCAGAUGAAAAGUUCCAAACAGAGGAGCGAAGAUCAGAACCAAAAGGUUUCAAGAAGUGGCACUGGUAAAGACAAAAGUCUUGGCAAGAAAAGCUCAGGAACUUUAUUGCCAUCUGAGAAGGGUUUCUAUUUGAAAUGCAGAGAAUACUGGUGUGUAGUACACUGAACUUGGAGAAAUUGUUGUGUGCUCCAUGCUGAGUGUCAGACAUCAUCAUCGUCGUCGUUGUUUAAUGUCCGCUUUCCAUGCUGGCAUGAGUUGGACGGUUUGACUGAAGCAACGGUCACGCUCGGAUGUGCUUUUAACGUUCCACUGGCACGAGUGCCAAUCACGCAGUCAUCAGCCACGUCAGCGAUUUUGAUUUCACUUGCCUCAAUAGGUCUUUGCAAACAAGGUUUAUUGUCCAAUGAACGAGGGGUAUUCAUAAGUGGGCUGGUUACACCCACUGGCAUAGGCUAUGGGUUAUGGUCUCACUUGCCUUGUCAGGUCUUCUCAAGCACAGCAUAUCUCGAAAGGUCUCGGUCAUAAGUCAUUGCUUCAGUAAGGCCCAAUGUUCAAAGGUCAUGCUUCACCACCUCAUCCCAGGUCUUCCUGGGUUUAUCUCUUCCACAGGUUCCCUCAACUGAUUAGGUGUGACACUUUUUCUCACAGCUGUCCUCAUUCAUUCACAACGCAUGACCAUAUCAGCGCAGUCAUCUCUCUUGCACACCACAUCUGAUGCUUCUUAAAUCCAACUUUUCUCUCUGAGCAUUUACACUGUCAUGUAUGCACACUGACAUUACACAUCCAGUGGAGCAUACUGGCUUCAUUCCUUGCAAGCUUACACAUGUCCUCAGCAGUCAUGGCCCAUGUUUCACUGCCACAUAGCAUGGCUGUUCGUACACAUGCAUCAUACAGUGUACCGUUUAUUCUGAGCGAGAGGCCCUUUGUCACCAGCAGAGGUAGGAGCUUUCUGAACUUUGCCCAGGCUAUUCUUAUUCUAGCAGCUACACACUUUCAGAGCAUCUACCCCGGCUACUGACUUGGUUUCCUAGGUAAUGGAAGCUAUCAACUAUUUGUAGUUUUUCUCCCUGGAAUAUGACAGAAGCUGUUCUCUGCACAUUUUCAGUGUUUAUAGCAUCUAAGCAUCUGCCACAGACAAAAACUAUCUUCCCAGUUAGCCUCCCUUUGAUAUUGCUGCACCUCUUAUGCGUCCAUAACUUACACUGGGUACAUCUUAUGGAGUUUCUACCUUAGCCUUUUCUACAGAUGCUGCUGAUAUUGACCUUUCUGACCUUGCAGUUUUCAGCUCUACUAUUUCUAAUUCUGUGGUUCUCAACUGGAGUUCAUGUGGCCCUUGGGGAUCCACAUAAAAUCUUGUUAAUAUUUAUCUCCAAUAAACCGGUUAUACGUCUACAACACACAAAAUAUUUUUAGCAAUUUUUUUACUUAAUUCCCAAUAACGUUUCAUUGUAAAAAUAUAAGUAUGGAAUGGUUAGGAGGGUCCAUCCAAGUAAAAUAAAAUCAAAAGGAGCCCAGGGCAAAAAAUGGUCGAGAACCAUUGGUCUAAUUCUUCAUUUGAUCCACCUACAACAGGUAGAUUGUCAUUGUACAGGAACCACCAUGGGCAGCCGGUGUUUGACUCCUCUGUUAUGUCUUGAAGAAUUAUGGUAAACAGGAGUGGGGGGCUGAGAACUGAGUCCUAAUGGACAUCUGCCUAUACACUAAAUUCCUCACUGAGCUGGUUAAUUAACUCCCAAUUUGCCAAUAACACCUCUGUAUAUGGCUUUCAGGGCUCUCAUUAGCCAUUUCCCUACCCAUCCAUUUCCUGAGUGACCAACAGAUUAUGGAACUGCAUCAAAGACCUUCUCUAGUGAGUUCUCUUGUAGCUGCCUUGCUUAAGAAGUGGGCAUUGAUGCUGUAGAACAUACAGUUUCCUGUACUUCAGAUCACUUCAUGGUCCCAGCAAACAAAAUGCAAACAGCUUUGCCCCAGGAGAUGGGACGAUCGAGAUGGCCUGGAACGGCCACUCCGUCUCACAGGACUGGCACUUCUUGAUGCUUUUAUGCUCAAGCACAAACACUUAUUGCAUCAGAUCUAUGAUGAACUUUCCUGUAAACUUCACACCCAAUUUCAUGGGCAUGGCUGUGUUGUAAGAAGCUUGCUUCUCAACCACAUGGUUCUAGGUUCAGUCCCACUGCAUGGCACCUUGGGCAAGUGUCUUCUACUAUAACCUCAGGCAAACCAAAGCCUUGUGAGUGGAUUUGGUAGAUGGAAACUGGAAGAAGACUGUCAUGUGUAUAUAUGUGUGUGUGUGUAUGUAUCUAUGUGUGUGUUUCUGUGUUUGUCCCUACCACCACUUGACAACUAGUGGUGGACUGUUUAUGUCCCUGUUACUUAGCAGUUCAGCAAAAGAGACCAAUAGAAUAAAUACUAGGCUUUAAAAAAAAGUACUGGGGUUGAUUCAUUUGACUAAAAAAAAUUCUUCAAGUCAGUGCCCCAGCAUGGCCACAAUAUCUAUUGCCUGGAACAAGUAAAAGAUAUAAGAUAAUCAUUAAGUUCACUGACUGCCAUUAUUUUGGUAACCACCCUUCAGGUUGGUUGUUGUGGGUUUUGUCUUGGCGCCAGCACUAAAGAGGUUGUCUUGUUCCCAUCGAACCUAAAAAGCCAUCACUACCCUAUCGUGUCUCUAUCUCCCCUAUUACUUGACAGAGUAUGCCGGGUUCAUUUCAUGUCGUUGGGCUAGAAAAGUUGUCAUGAGACUGAAGUUUUCUUUUGAUCUCACCUUAUUUCUAUCCAUUCUCCAACCACUGUACUGGGUUCAUUUUAUCAUAGCACCAGUUCUGUAUAGUAAACCAUUGAAUAUCAUCUAUGAUCUUGCAAACUAUACAGUGGUCCUCUAUUGUGCUUUUAUCUCUUAACACCUGGCACAGUGGUUACCUCACUCAACGCUGUACCCUCACCCUGUUAAAGGAUCUAGACUUGUGAGUUACUUGGUGUCCCUAUAAAAAAAACUCCCAUGACAGUGCCAUGUAGAAAGCACCCAGUACACUUUGUAAAUUGGUUAGCGCUAGGUAAGGCCUCCAGCCAUAGAAACCAUGCCAAAACAGGCAGGGUGCCCAGGCAGCUGACCAGCUCCUGUCAGCCCGUCCAACCCAUGCCAGUUUGGAAAAUGGGCAUUAAAGGAUGAUGAUGAUGAUGAUAUAAACACAUACUGACUAAACAGAACAAGAGAGGACAUGUGGGAUAGGGAACCACUGAAGGGGUCACAGGAUGUGUGACAAAAGAUUUCAGGCAAAGGACUCUGAAAUACGAACAACAAUAAAGCUGAAGUGAAAAUCAAGGCUGUAGUACCAUGGUUCCCAACCCUUUUACUUAAAUGAGUUUUCCCACAGACCCCUUUUAAUAUGCUCAUCCUUGUGGACCCCAGGUUGGAAACCCCUGAUACAGUAUAUAGUGCAUGUGUUUAUUUGAUGGGGAUAAAUGACAAUCUUGAAAUGUAACAAUAUGUGUUUCAACACACAAUUUCACAUCAGGAAUCUUGCAAAGCAAGCCUUUAUAAGGGUGAUAAUACCCAAGUUUUCUGCUGUUUUAAUGAGAAGACUGCAUUUGAAAUAUUACUUUCUUGCCUGUAUCGUACACUACUCGUUCAACGCUUGUAAAAAAAUGAAUAUAAGGUUGAUUAUAUACACAAAUGGUUGUUAUAUAUAGAUAUAUAAAUAUACAUAUAUAUAUAUAUAUAUAAUAUACAUAUAUAUAUAAAUAUAAAUAUAUAAAUAUAACUGACUUCUCGUUGACAACUAUGAUUGUCACACGCCGAUGAUAGGUCAAUACCUUGAAACUUGAGUCCGUGUGUAUCAUAAGUUGAAGACGGGAAGGAUGACUUCCCUUCACAAAUACUGAUAGGGCACAGAAAGUGUGUCUAUAGCCAGCUGGAGGAGGUGUCUUCCUGGGGCUACAAACUACAGUAGCAUCCACCCUUAGGGGUUAGCCAUAUUCAAAUGGCAAAUAUACGUCACGAUGUGUUGCCGCUACUGUUUAUAACUCGCUCUGAGAUUUAUCAUUGUUAAAUAAAUAUGUAUAUAAAUAUAAAUAAAUAUAUAUAUAUAUAUAUAUAUAUAUAUAUAUACAUAGUUUAAAUUUACAGAAAACAAAUGAUGAUGACAGGUGAGGGAACAACAAGCAGGUGUAUUAAUUUGACGCUUGGGAAGAAUUGAAAAGUCUUUGACAUUUCGAACCUGUGCUCUUCGACAGAAAGGGUUCAGAGGUAAAAAAUUGUGUUGGGAUUAAUGGUUCAACAUGAUGGGAUGACCGGAAGAAAGAGGCUGAGUGAAAGGGAGAUAACAACGGUGACCCGGCUGAACUAGGGUCUGCAAGCACGUUUGUGUAUGAGCGAAUGAGGGUGAGCAUGUGUGAAUGUUUGUGUGGGCAAGCUUAAAAUUAUGUGGACCCGCGUGUGUGUGGGUAUGGGAGCAUGUGUGUAUGUGCAUGUAUUUGUGUGUGUGUAUGUGCAUAUGAACAUGUGUGUAUGUGUGUGAAGCUUUCCUUCUAGUGUGUGUUAGUGCAUGGUGUGUGUAUGAGCUUUUGAUAGUUUCUUGCGUUCGAGACAAGGGUCCAUGCAGGUUUUUAUAACAUGCAGGAGUGGCCGUGUGGUAAGUAGCUUGCUAACCAACCACAUGGUUCCGGGUUCAGUCCCACUGCGUGGCAUCUUGGGCAAGUGUCUUCUGCUAUAGCCCUGGGCCGACCAAUGCCUUGUGAGUGGAUUUGGUAGCUGGAAACUGAAAGAAGCCUGUUGUAUAUGUAUAUAUGUUUGUCCCCCCCAACAUCGCUUGACAACCGAUGCUGGUGCGUUUACGUCCCCAUCACUUAGCGGUUCGGCAAAAGAGAACGAUAGAAUAAGUACUAGGCUUACAAAGAAUAAGUCCUGGGGUUGAUUUGCUCGACUAAAGUGGUGCUCCAGCAUGGCCACAGUCAAAUGACUGAAACAAGUAAAAGAGUAAAGAGAGAGUAUGCCUUGUCUCCAAUUUUUGAUAUCUUGGCAUCUGAAGCAGCUGGAGAUACAAUAGUUUGACCGAAAGAACUGGCUGCAAGCAAAAAUGUUUGAAUUGCAUAAUAGUGGUUUUUCUCUAAUUUAUAUAUUAUAUUGUAUAUUUAUAUUGUGAAAUUUGAUUUAAUACUAAAUUGAAUUUUUCCCUUUAAAUUUGGAGUUAUACUCCCUAUUAUUAUUAUAUAUAUAUGUGUGUGUGUGUGUGUGUUGGCAUUAGGAAGGGCAUACAGCUGUAGAAACACUGCCAAAUCAGACUGGAGCCUGGUGCAGCCUACAUGGCUUCCAGUCCCUGGUCGAACCAUCCAACCCAUGGAAAAUGGACGUUAAAUGAUGAUGUGUGUAUAUAUAUAUAUGUGUGUGUGUAUUAUAUAUAUAUAUAUAUAUAUAUAUACCAAUUAAGGACUGAACACGAAAAGUGGACAGUCAACAUGCUAGAUAUAGACGUCAAAUCGCCAUUCUCCACAAAAGAUUAUGUUCUCUUGAUCUGAGAACAUAAUCUUUUGUGGAGAAUGGCGAUUUGACGUCUAUAUCUAGCAUGUUGACUGUCCACUUUUCGUGUUCAGUCCUUAAUUGGUAUAUAUAAAUAUUUUAAUCUUCGGAUUCUUUUUUUAAUAUGCUAGACCACUGGUUCUAAUUGAUAAAUAUCAAUUUCUACCCUAAAUUAAUUUUAUAUUAUAUAUAUAUGAAGGCGCAUGGCUCAGUGGUUAGAGCGUCGAGCUUACGAUCGUGAGGUUGUGAGCUCGAAUCCCGGACCGGGCUGCGUGUUGUGUUCUUGAGCAAAACACUUUAUUUCACGUUGCUCCAGUUCACUCAGCUGUAGAAAUGAGUUGCGACGUCACUGGUGCCAAGCUGUAUCGACCUUUGUCUUUCCCUUGGAUAACACUGGUGGCGUGGAGAGGGGAGGCCGGUAUGCAUGGGCGACUGCUGGUCUUCCAUAAACAACCUUGCCCGGACUUGUGUCUAGGAGGGUAACUUUCUAGGUGCAAUCCCAUGGUCAUUCAUGACCGAAGGGGGUCUUUAUAUAUAUAUAUAUAUGUGUGUGUAUGUAUAUAUAUAUCAUCAUCAUUGUUUAACAUCCGUUAAAAGGAACUUCUUUCACGGGUUCCUUCCACUGUUAGGAUGUGACACUUCUUCACACAGCUCUCCUCAUCCAUUCUCACCACAUGACCAUACCAGCACAGUCGUCUCUCUUGCACACCACAUCUGAUGCUUCUUAUGACCAACAUUUCCCUCAGGACGCUUACACUCUGUCGUGUGUGCACAUUGACAUAACACAUUCAACGGAUCGUACCAAGUUCACUUCUUCUAAGCCUUCGCCUGUCCUCAACAGUCAUGGCCCAUGUUUCACUGCCAUGUAGCGUGGCUGUUUGCACACAUGCAUCAUGCAGUCUACCUUUAACUCUGACUGAGAGGACCUUUGUUACCAGCAGAGUUAGGAGGUUUCUGAACUUUGCCCAGGUUAUUCUUAUUCUAGUGGCAAUACUCUCAGAGCAUUCCCCCCCACCCACUACAGACUUGGUCACCUGGGUAGCAGAAGCUAUCAACUACUUGUUUAUACUUCCAGUACUGAAGAGUAGUGAUAUAUACAUAUUAAUAUAUAUUACAAAUAAGGAAAUGGAGAAGCACAUUAGUUGGUUCAUCAGCAUUAGGAUAUUAAAAUGUUGAUUUAUAUAUGUGUAUAUAUAUAUCAAAUAUAAAUUAAAAACGGAACACAAAGGAUAUCGCAGUACACGUGUUUCAAGUUAUAUAUAUAUAUAUAUACACACACACACAGACACAUAUAUAUACAUCUAUACAUUUAAAUCUAUAUAUAUACAUAUAUGUACAUACAUACAUAUAUAUGUACACUUAUAUAAUGCAUACAUGAAUCUAUACAUAUAAUAUACAUACAUAUAUAUAUACACACACAUAUAUAUGCAUAUAAGUCUAUACAUACACAUAUAUACAUAUGCAUCUAUAUGUAUACAUGUAUACAUCUAUGAGGGACGUUCAAUAAGUAAUGCCUCUGACCCACUUGCAGUUGUUUGAUCUAGCUGAAAUUUUGCAUGUGCAAUCAUUUAUAUCUCUAUAGAGUAAGUGGCAAAUUACAGCUCUGAAUUAAUUGUGGUUUCUGAUUUACAGGUGUUUGAACCGAGUCAAGUGUGAAAUGGAGCCUGUUGAGUGUCGAGCAGUGAUCCGGUUUUUGUAUUUGAAAGGACGCACACCACGGGAGACUUUUGAUGAAAUGAAAGUAACUUAUGGUGAUGAUGCCCCAUCAUAUGACCUUGUAAAACGCUGGCAUCGUGAAUUCAAACAUGGUCGGAACUCUGUGGAAACAGUUCCCAGAUCUGGUCACCCCUUCUGCCAUUGAUGAGGCAUCUGUCCAUCAAGUUGAGGCUGCCAUUUUGGAAGAUCGAUGCAUAAUUAUUUGCCAAAUAGCCCAUUAGGUCAAGAUUAGUACCGGGUCUGUGGAAACUAUCAUUCAUGACCAUUUGCAUAUGCAAAAGGUGUCUGCCAGAUGGAUUCCCAGGUUGCUCACGCCUUUCCAGAAGCAAGAACGCGUCGAGUGCUCGAGGGUGAAUUUGGAGAUGUGCCAAGAAGAUGAGUCAAAAUUUUUCAAAAGACUGAUCACACAGGAUGAAACCUGGGUCCAUCACGAUGAUGCAGAGACCAAAGCCCAGUCAAUGCAGUGGAAGCACCGUGACUCACCCCCUCCAAAGAAGGCAAGGGUGCAGCCCUCCGCUGGCAAGGUCAUGCUCACAGUUUUCUGGGACCAGGACGGAGUAGUGAUGACAGAUUUCCUGGCAAAGGGUACCACAAUUGCAGGAGCCUAUUAUGCUUCACUUUUGAGGAAAUUAAGAGAAGUUAUCAAAAUCAAGAGGCGGGGCAAGAUCAGCAAAGGCAUCCUCCUCCUGCAGGACAACGCUCCGGUCCACAACUCGCUUGUCGCCAGAUCAGAAGCACAGGCGUAUGGCUAUGAACUUCUCCCCAUCCCCCCUACUUUCCUGACCUUGCACCCUCUGAUUUUCACCUCUUCCCAAUCAUGAAGUUGUUUUUGAAAGGAAAGCGUUUCCCAGAUGAUGCAGCCAUGAUUUCUGAAGUCACGUUGAGGUUGGAGGACCAAGCUGGGUUCUUCUACAAAAACGGUCUCCAGAGCCGCAUCAAACGAUGGGAGGAAUGCGUAACUCUGGGUGGUUCCUAUUUAGAAAAAGACUAAUAACUGUGCCAAGUUUCGUUGCUCUACUGCUAUGGGAAGUGGGUCAGGGGCAUUACUUAUUGAACGCCCCUCAUAUAUAUAUAUAUAUAUAUAUAUAAAAUGCUAAACCUACGGAAACCUUCAGCGAUUAUAUUAUAAACACAUCAAAUCCUACAAUCUAUCUAUAUAAACAUUACGGGAAUUAAUAAUUUAUAUAUAUAUAUAUAUAUAUAUAUAUAUAUAUAUAUAUACAUACAUACAUACAUAUUCAUAUAUGAGGUGGUUUCACAAGGUUCCUGGACUAGUUUAAUAACUGGUACUUAUUCUAUCGGUUCUUUUUGCCAAACUGCUAAACUAUAGGGACAUAAACACACCAACACCUGUUUUCAAGCAACAGUGGGGGACAAACACAGACACAAAGAUGCACAUACCUAAAUAAUUAUCAUUACUAUUAGGUAAAAGUGUCGUAAGUCCAAAAUGUUGCUUUUUCAGAAAACAAAGAAAUAUUUUCACCAUUCCAUCAGAAAACUGUUGUUCUACAGUUUGACAAUUUUUGGUAUCUUGGCAUCUGAAGCAGCUGGAGAUACGAUAGUUUGACUGAAAGAACUGGUUAUUGCAAGCAAAAAUAAUAUUGAAAAAUAUGCAUUUGGCCAAAUUUCAACAUACCUCAGCUUAACAUAAUAGUAACGAUAUAUAUAUAUAUAUAUAUAUAUAUAUAUAUAUGUGUGUCAUCGUCAUCAUCGUUUAACAUCCGCUUUCCAUGCUAGCAUGGGUUGGACGAUUUGACUGAGGUCUGACAAACCAGACUCUAAUCUGAUCUGGCAGAGUUUCUACAGCUGGAUGUCCUUCCUAACGCCAACCACUCCGAGAGUGUAGUGGGUGCUUUUACGUGCCACCGGCACGAGGGCCAGUUUGGUGGUACUGGCAAUGGCCAUGCCCAAAUGGUGCUUUUUACGUGCCACCUGCACAGGAGCCAAUCCAGCGGCAUUGGCGACGACCUUGCUCGAAUGUUUCACGUGCCACCAGCACAAUUGCUGGUAAGGUGACGCGUUAAUGAUCGCACUCGAAUGGUGUGAUUAACGUGCCAUCGGCAUGGAGGCCAGCUUGUUGCUCUGGCAACGAUCUCACUCGUAUGGUACUCUUAGCGCUCCACUAGCAACGGAUGCCAGUCACCGAAUUUGAUUUCGACUUCGAUUUCACUUGCCUCAACUGGUCUUCACAAGCAGAGUUUAGCGUCCAAUGAAGGAAAGGCACGUACAAGUGGACUGGUUACACCCCUGGCAUAGGCCACAAGGUUACGGUCACACAUAAUAAAAAAGAGUAUGGAGACUUGUACUUUCAGAAAAUUUAUUUUAUAGGUGCCAAUUCCAUCCUUCAGUCUCAGAAGUUCUACCAUUCCUCUGACUUAGUCAUUUAAUGAAAAUCAAUGAGACUCCACCAUAUAUUGGAAUUUAUUUAAAUUCUACUUUGUCUUGUAAUUAGCCGACUCCGCCCUGUUUAGUAAUCAUGUGAAUUCCACCAUGUCUUAUAAUUAUGUAAACUCUGCUGUGUUCUUGUAACGAGCAAAUUUCACCUUUUACUGUAAUUAACAAACUCCUGCAAGUUUUGUAAUUUACGAACUGACCAUGUUUUGUAAUUAACCAGUUCCAUCAUGAUUUGUAAUUGAAUCAACUCACCAUUGUGUGUUUCUUCUUAUUUUUCAGACAACGCUGGAAUCAAUGAACCGUUUUGUCAGCCCUAUCAACCCCGCUGUCUUCCCCCAUUUGACGGUGGUGUUGUUGGGGAUUGGAAUCUUCUUCAUGGCUUGGUUCUUUGUGUAUCCUUUUGGUGAAUUGCAGAGAGCAGUGUCGUCGGUCGAUGGUUGUUGUGGCGGCAGUGGUUAGUGUGUCUCUCCGUAUUGACACAGGGUUAAAUGCUUUGCUGCUGUUAUUACUGUGAAUGUAUUGAUACAGUGUGGAGGUGCAUGGAUUAGUGGUUAGGGCAGUCACCUUGUGAUCAUAAGGUAGUGAGUUCAAUUCCUGGCGACACGUUGUGUCCUUGAGCAAGACACUUCAUUUCACGUUACUCCGAUCCAGUCAGCUGGCGAAAAUGAGUAGUACCUGUAUUUCAAAGGGCCAGCCUUGUCACACUCUGUGUCACACUGAAUCUCCCUGAGAACUAUGUUCAGGUAACGUGUGUUCGUUACACACGUAGUUCACUGAUUGAAGAGGGUGAGGACUCAUGUCUUAGUGGUUAGGUUGUUUGGCUCAUGGUUUUGAGUUCGAUUCUUGGCUGUGCAUUGUGACCUUGAGCAAGACACUUCAUUUCACGUUGCUUCAGUCCACUCAGCUGGCAAAAGCGAGUCAUACCUGUAAUUCAAAGGGACCAGCCUUGUCACACUCUGUGUCACGCUGAAUCUCCCUGAGAACUACAUUAGGGGUACAUGUGUCUGUGGAGUGCUCAGCCACUUGCACAUUAAUUCCAUGAGCAAGUUGAUCGGAUCAACUGGAACACUCAUCAUCGCAACCAACAGAGGGCCAGUUAGUUAUUGAUACAGUAUUAAAGGUGUGAAUGGUAUUGGUACAAUAUUAGUGAUGUGUUGGUGUUAUGGAUGUAGUUGUUUUACUCUUGGCUGUGUGGUAAGUAGCUUGCUUACCAACCACAUGGUUCCGGAUUCAGUCCCACUGCGUGGCACCUUGGGCAAGUGUCUUCUGCUAUAGCCUCAGGCCAACCAAUGCCUUGUGAGUGCAUUUGGUAGACGGAAACUGAAAGAAGCCUGUCAUGUAUGUAUGUAUAUAUAUAUGUAUGUAUGUGUUUGUGUGUCUGUACCCCUAGCAUUGCUUGACAACCGAUGCUGGUGUAUUUAUGUCCCCGUCACUUAGCGGUUCGGCAAAAGAGACCAAUAGAAUAAGUACUGGGCUUACAAAAGAAUAAGUCCCGGGGUCGAGUUGGUCGAUUAAAGGCGGUGCUCCAGCAUGGUCGCAGUCAAAUGACUGAAACAAGUAAAAGAGAAAGAGAGAGUAUUAGUGAUGUAGUGGUGUUACCGACAUGGCAGUUUUAGUACAGUAUUGGUUGAUGUGAUGGUAGACAGAGAUUUAGGGAUGUGAUGGUGUUACCAAACACCUGCCUGAAUGUAGUUGUCUCUUCUCCACCCAAACUACUCAAAACACACUGAAACAAUUUGCCUUAUCUGGGCUGGAUCUGGCUGUUUUAACCCUCUUAGCAUUCAGAUUACUCUGUCAUAUAUAAUCCUUGUUUAUUCACGCUGUUUUGGAUUAAUUGUGCAUUAUCUCAGAGCAUUGAGAUUUCAAUGAUAUCUUUGUAUGUUCUGAGAAUGAUAUUGUAGGGUGGGUAUGAAAGGCCAGAUCUUGACAGUUUGAACGUAAAACAAGUAGAAUGCUUGGCUUGGAAUGGAAUAUUUAACUCUUCAACUUAAUCGUGUCUCAUAGCUUUGAGCUUUCAAAGAUGAUGUGAUUGUUUAUUUGUAGAAAUAGACAUAAGUUUCAAUAAACUACCAAAUAUAAAUAUCCACACCACCACACCUGAACACCUGAAACGUACCUGUUAUAACUCUUUAUCUAGCUUUGAAUGUACGUGAAGGUAUUUAGAAUGCCCAAACUUAUUUCUGAAAAUGUGCUAAGCACUGAUGUUUAAUCAAUAAGGAUAGGGGCGAGGUUAAUGCAGUAAAAAUAGUGGGGGGUGGGUUGGUGGGGCCCCAUUUAAGUGGCCUUUCAGAAAUUGAACCGUUAUGUAAACCUCCUCAAGGAAUGUGAAGACGCAGGCUGGAAAGCAGAGCAUUUUCCAAUCGAAGUUGGAUGUAGAGGGUUCAUUGGACACAGUGUGAGACGACUGUUGUUAUCGUUAGGCCUAACUCACCGUAAAGUCAAUACCACCAUGACCGAUAUCCAAUCUACAGUGGAGAAGGCUAGCCACUGGAUUUGGUUAAAAAGAGACGAUGAACGAUGACUAGGAUAUUGAGCUUUAUUUGAUAACCAGCUGAUCUAGCAAGCGGGGCCUCAUAUCAGUGAGGGAGGGGGCGGUGCACAUUGAUGCCGUCGAGAGGUAGGCCCUGAAACGGCGCGCAUUCUCUCCUGACGACCCCAUACACUUGCUGGCUUCUGGUAUGCGGAGUUUUUGACUGGUAGCACUUGCAUGUGCAAGUUGUUUGCAAGACAUAUACUCCAUAGGAGUUCAUGGUAUGAAAUUCAUUGUCAUUGCUCCAAUUUGAUUGCCAAUGCCAUGUAUUUAGUUUAAAAUGCAGUAAAAGUAGGGGGUCAGUGGUGUCCCAAUUAGGCACCCUUAAAAAAACAGACACCCUGAGGACAUUCCCUGGGAUUAGGGGAGUUGCUGGUUUGAGUUUCGUUGUCCUUGCACCAACAGUCUAGGAGGAGGUAAACAUAAAAGCAUAACGGACAGAGAAACAUCACUCAAGUUUAUAAUCGGAUGACAUUGUAGGUUUAGUAUAAGAGGCUUGAUCUGGCCAGUUUGAACAUAAGACAGAAUAUUUAGGGUGGAAUUGGCUGGUUUAACCCUUUAGCAUUCAGAUUAUUCUGUCAAAUGGAUUUGAAUUAAUCCUGCUUUAUCUCGUAGCAAUGGUGCGAUUAUUGUUUUCUUAGAAUGACAUUGUGGGGUGGGUGUGAAAGGCUGGAUCAGGCUGGUUUAAAAAUGAUACAGGUAGAAUUUUGGGGAGCUGGAUGUGGCCAGUUUAAACACUAAAGGGUUAAUUAAAAGAGAAGCAAACCUUAGUCAAAUUCUUCUAGGAUUCCCCAAUUUUCAAAGGUGAUGGUCACUUUGACCAGUUGUCACCAGGUGGGAUCUCUGAACAAACCACCCAAACAUCUUUCACACUGUCAAAAUUUGCUACAGUAUGGCCUACGUAAUUAACUCUCAUUUCACAAUUUAAUUUUUUAAAUUAACAAAUGCUUUUUCUUAGAUAAUUAUUGGAUUUUAAUGUAAUAGCUUUAUAAAACAAAUGCUAAAUAUCAGUUUUCUUCAAAUUAUGUUUUAAAAAUAUAUUUAAAUGGAAUUAAUUAAACUGUUUCAAUAUUUUGUAAAAGAUCAGAUAACAGUUUUAUUUUUGUCUUUUUUACGACCAUUUUUACAGAAAUUGUAAAUUUUCCUGUUAUAUUUCUCUGACAUAUUUUCUUACAAAUGUUUACAAGAAUAAUUUUCUCUGUUUUUCAAUCAUUUUUAUGAAAGAAAAACAUACGUAGAUAAUAUAAAAUGGUCCGCUACGUACAUAAAUACACACACACACAUAUAUAUAAACACACGUACAUACAUAAUAUAUAUAUAUAUAUAUAUGUAUACUCUUACUCUCUUACUCAUACUUGUUUCAGUCAUUUGACUGCGGCCAUGCUGGAGCACUGCCUUUAGUCGGGCAAAUCGACCCCAGGACUUAUUCUUUGUAAGCCCAGUACUUAUUCUAUCAGUCUCUUUUUGCUGAACCGCUAAGAUGUAUGUAUGUAUGUAUAUAUAUAUAUAUAUAUAUAUCAUCAUCAUCAUCAUCAUCAUCAUCAUUUAGCGUCCGUUUUCCAUGCUAGCAUGGGUUGGACGGUUCAACUGGGGUCUGGGGAGCCCGAAGGCUGCACCAGGCCAGUCAUCAUCAUCAUCAUCAUCGGACGUUAAACGAUGAUGAUGAUGAUGAUGAUAUAUAUAUAUAUAUAUAUAUAUAUACAUACAUACAUACAUACACACACAUACAUACAUACAUAAUAAUAAUAAUAUAUAUAUACACAUACACACACAUGCAUACAUAUGUAAUGUGUGUGUGUGUGUUUACAUAAAUAUACACACACACAUAUAUAUAAUUUAUACACAACAGUAAUGGUGGAUGUUCUUUCAAAUAUUAACAAUACUGUUUUAUUGCAGAUGAAUAUCUUUUUGUCUGUUUGUUGUUGUUUUUGCAAAGAAUUAUAUGAAGUGAGGAAACAAAUAAUCUACAGAAUAAUCAACCAUUUUAAUACAGAUAUUAAAUUUUUCUUUUUUUCUCUUCUGUGCCAACAUGGCUUAUAGAUAUUGAAGAUAUAAAAUAUAAUCAACAAUGGGUUUUUUUGGGGUGUUUUUUUUUUUAAAUUAAAAAAAUUUUUUUUUUUUUAUCCCUCGCUGAAAUAUAAUAGAACUGAACGAAAACAUUAACAUUUGUUUACAAAUGUAUUGUGAGCAAAAGAAUUGGUAUAUUUCAGUGGAAUAAAAGAUUAAAGUGAGGAAAUUUGAACAUUAAAAGCAAUCAGACAAUCCAUUAGUCUGACGGAGAUGGAAUUUCAUCAGUUUAUUCAUGAUGUUGACAAAAACCAAGUUUUUCACGGCAAAGAUCUGCAACACAAACAUCCGUGUGAAGAUGUCGUCAUCAUCAUCGUCAUCAUUUAGUGUCUCCCAUUUUACAAUUACAAGAGUCAGAGAGAAUUCUGUCUGACAGAAUUUUUACAAUCCGAUGUCCUUCCUGUCACCCACCUUCAUCUGUCCUCCAAGCAGGUGAUAUUUCCCCCAUGACCUAGACAUGUUUUUCAUGGAGGACUUGUAUGUUGUUGAUACACAUUCACAACCAUCAGGUGAUGUCUAGGGGAUACACGGACACACACACACACAUAUACAUAUACAAUGGACUUCUUUCAGUUUCCAUCUACCAGAUCCACUCACAAGGCUUUGGUUGGCCUGGGGCUAUAGUAGAAGAUACCUGUCCAAGGUACCACUCAGGGGGAAACCUACUACACAAUCUCUCAACACAACAAUUAACAAACCUCCUUCCCUCCAGAUAUCUACACCCCCAAAUAACAACCUGAACCCACCUAAACCACACAUAGAACUUCCCAACACAAGCCCCAUAUACAUAACACCACAUAUCUAUAAUUUCAUUAAAGACAUUUUUCUGAUAAUCUCCACAGAGACAGCUCAGUUUUUCAGCCAAUGAGGUGAGAUCUUGGGAGGGAAACCCUCAGAGGUUUUUAUACCUUGAAGUGGAGCCAAAAUCAAUAUCUGUUUAUCAAUUCUCAUUCUUCUGCCCAUCCUUUCUGCUCUCGUGAAGGUACAUAGUUUAGUAGUUAGGGUAGUUAGAUCACAAUUGCAAGGUCGGGAGUUUGAAAACUGGUGGUAUGUCAGUGUCCUUGAGCAAGACACUUUAUUUCACUUUAAAAAAGCACCAUCUGAACAUGGCCGAUGCCAGCGCCGCCCUGACUGGCUUCCAUGCCGGUGGUGCGUAAAAAACACCAAUCCGAUCGUGGCCGUUGCCAGCCUCGCCUGGCACGUAAAUAAGCAACCACUACACUCAGGGAGUGGUUGGCGUUAGGAAGGGCAUCCAACUGUAGAAACACUACCAGAUCAGACUGGAGCCUGGUGCAGCCUUCUGGCUUCCUAGAUCCCCGGUCGAACCAUCUAACCCAUGCUAGCAUGGAGAAUGGAUGUUAAACGAUGAUGAUUGCUCCAAUCCACUCAGCUGGCAAAAAUGAGCAGUGACUGUAUUUCGAAGGGGCCAGCCUUGUCACAUUCUGUGUCACGCUGAAUCUCUCUCAGAACUAUGUUAAAGGUAUGUGUGUCUGUGGAGUUCUCAGCCACUUUCACAUCAAUUGCACAAGCUGGCUCUCCCCACUGAUCAGAUCAACUGGAAUCUCCAUUGUCAUAACUGACAGAUUGCCAGUUAUUAUACAAAAACAUUAAGAUAUUAAUUAUUAUUUAAAAUUUAUAAGCGUAGGAGUGGCUGUGUGGUAAGUAGCUUGCUUACCAACCACAUGGUUCUGGGUUCAGUCCCACUGCGUGGCACCUUGGGCAAGUGUCUUCAACUAUAGCCUCGGGCCGACCAAAGCCUUGUGAGUGGACUUGGUAGACGGAAACUGAAAGAAGCCCAUCGUAUAUAUGUAUAUAUAUAUAUGUGCGUGUGUUUGUCCCCCCAACAUUGCUUGACAACCGAUGCUGGUGUGUUUGUCCCUGUCACUUAGCAGUUCAGCAAAAGAGACUGAUAGAAUAAGUACUGGGCUUACAAAGAAUAAGUCCCGGGGUCAAGUUGCUCGAUUAAAGGCGGUGCUCCAGCAUGGCCGCAGUCAAAUGACUGAAACAAGUAAAAGAGUAACUCUUUCUUUGUCUUAACAUUGGUUGCAAACUGCAAGCAAAUAUCAUUACAAAAUACUAUAAUGGAACAUUUCUAUAGUUUCUUUUAACCCUUCCACUGCUAAAUUGAAUUUCAUGAUUAUUCCAGUUGCAGUUUUAAAUAUCUACCAAAAUAUAUAGAAUUGGUAUUUUCUGCCAAGUUGUAUUGCUUCAGUGAACUUGACUCAUCUCAACAGAAAAUGGUUUUAAACAUGAUAUUCCUCAACAAAAAAUAGACUGAUAUAUAAAACUGAUUUCCAGAAUGAAAGGGUUAACUAUAUUUCCCUUUUACCUUUUAUUUGUUUCACUCAUUAGACUGUGGCCAUGCUGGAGCACCACCUUGAAGAAUUUUUUUGUCAUGCGAAUUAACUCUAGUACUUUUCUAGUCUCUUUUGCUGAAGUACUAAGUUAGCGGGAUGUAAACAUACCAACACCAGAUGUCAUGUGGUGGUGGUGGUGGGAACAGACACAAAGACACACCCACAUAUAUCUAUGACAGGCUUCUUUCAGUUUCCGUCUACCAGAUCCACUCACAAGGCAUUGGUUGGUCCAAGGCUAUUGAAGAAGACACUCGCCCAAUGUGUCAUGCAGUGGGACUGAACCCGGAACCAUGUGGUUGGGAAUCAAGCUUCUUACCACACAAUCAAACCUGUGCCUCACCAUCAUCGUCCUUUAACGUCCAUUUUCCAUGCUGGCAUGGGCUGGAUGGUUUGACCAGAGGUGGGAAGCUGCACUAGGUUCCAGUCUGAUUCGGCUCGGUCUCUAUGGCUGGAGGCCCUUCCUAAUGCCAUCCACUUUACCGAGUGUGCUGCAUGCUUUUCAUGUGACCCCAGUGCAGGACUCUUGAAGGCUAAUCCUCUUCACCCGGUGCGGAGUGACCUUAACACUUCUGCUGUGGAGAACAGUCAUCUAGAGCAGUGCUUUUCAAACUUUUUGCUGGAGCGGAACCCCAAGGAAACAUUCCACUGGCUCGAGGAACCCCUGUGCAAUAAUUUAAUAGUCUUCUGCACACAUAUCUGCACAGGAGAAUUAAAAAUUACUGCCGAUUUUAGCAGUUUUGUAACUUCUUGCGGAAUCCCUGGACUGUACUGGUGGAACCCUAAGGUUCCGCGGAACCCUGGUUGAAAACCACUGAUCUAGAGUAGAGCAAGGUGCCAGCUUUCCCCAGUCCUCUCGCAUCUCAUCUGAAAGGGUCAGCAUCCUGAGGUCGUCCUUCAGUACUUUGGCUUUUCUCUUUCUGGAUCUCCCUUUUUCCACAAGUUCCAUCCACUUUGAGUGAAUGACACUUCUUUAUGGAACUGUCGGCAUAAUUUGAUUUUUCUACAGAAGCCCCAAAAGACAUAACAUCAGCAUUUCAUGAUAAAACUUUUUUUUCCUUUUUUGAUAUUUACAUGAUAAAAUAAUUUAGCCAGUCUCUAACAGUUGCCAGAAUGCUGCCAGUUUUAUGCAGUCUCUGGAAGCUGGCACGCUUAACUCAGGAUAUAUGAGGAACAGUUAGGCGGAGGGACUGAAGCUACCUUUUCUGGCAUGCCCUUUCACAUCUCAAACAAAAACUCAAUGCUCCAAGUCCCCAGAGCAGUUCAUUCGUAGUGGCACUGGGAGCAGUGUUUCCCAACCAUUUUCCUUACCUAUGGAUCGCUUUUGAUGCCUCUUUUAUUCAGACUGAACCUCAUGGCCAUUUGAUGUUUAAAAAAAUCCUAUUAUAUUUUUAUACUUAAAGGAAUUAUAUAAAGAAUAUGUAAGGGAGAAAAUUGUCAAAGUAUUUUGUGUAUUGUAGGAAUAUAAGGAAUUUAUUGCACAUAAAUUUUAACAAUAAAAUCCUUUAUGGACUCCCAAGGGCCGUAAGGACCCUUGUUGAGCAUCACUGCACCAGAAAAAAGAAACAAAACAAGGCCUGUCCCCAAACUCUGGCUGGCAUUUUUUAACCCAGCAGCAUGUCUCCUGCAAGACCACUGUCCGAACUAUGGAAGAGAAUUCCAUGCAUUGCACAGAGCUUUAGUAAUCUUGUUUCCUACUCUACAGUUAAUCCUUCCAAAAUCCCCUGCCAAAAUUUUCAAAAUCCUCUUUUCCUCCACUUCAUAUCAAUGAGGUUUUUUUGAGGAAAAUGUCCUUUUGUCCCCCUAUUUUCCAUGCCAAGUCCACACUACACACACUAGGCAAACCUCCUACAGUUCUAUCCCCUUCCGACCUUCCAAGUGCACACACCAAGUGCUUCUGUUUACUUCAGAUCAACCAGGCCCCCAAACCUCAGUAAUAUUGCUUGCAAACCUAAAGCUAACCCUUAUAACUAAACGGUUCAAUUUCCUCCACUACAGGGAUCUCCUCGGAUAUUUAUGAACACACUUCAGUGUGUACCAUUCCAAGGAAGACCAUCAAUUCCUCAAACCAUGUCAACUAUUGCCUCAUAACAUCUCUCCCCUCUCUCUCUCUUUCUCUCUCUCUCUCUCUCUCUCUCUCUCUCUCUCGCUCUCUCUCUCUCUCUCUCUCUCUCUCUCUCUCUCUCUCUCUCUCUUUCAAUGAUCACCAGUAGUGGUUUUGUAAAAACAAUUCCCCUAGUGACAAACUUUCCUACAUCACUGACCAAUAGGCUCUACUUGAGAGAAAUUUGUUGAAAAUAGUUGUCACUCUUGACAUUAACAAAGCUUUUGACCAUGUCUCGUAUAUGAAUUUCUUAUCAAAACUGCCCACCAACAGGCUGCACCCAUUCCUUCUUAAAUUCAUAGUUUCCUUCAGAUCACACAACAUCAAAAAACAAAAACGAAAUAAAAUGUGAUGAGGUUAACUCUGUAAUACAGUACUUUUCAAACUUUUUGCUGGAGCAGAACCCCAAGGAAACAUUCCACUGGCUCGAGGAACCCCUGUACAAUAAUUUAAUAGUCUUAUGCACACAUAUCUGCACAGGAGAAUUAAAAAUUACUGCUGAUUUUAGCAGUUUUGUGACUUCUUGCAGAACCCCUGGACUGUGCUGGCGGAACCCUGUUUGAAAACCACUGCUGUAUAUAGGAUAAAUCAAAUGGCUAAAGUUAUCUCCCUUCAUAUCUGUUCUUCCAUAGAUUCACUUCAGAUGAAAAUCUCCAAGAAAACAGUUAUUCCUCAAACCACUUUUUUUUGCUGUCUUCUCUGCACAACAAAUACAAAUUUAACAAAUCUAAAUCUCUCAUGUAUCAAGCUUCAGAAAUUAAAUUUCAGCUCCUGGCUCUUGCUACGUGUGUAUCGUUCCUUAACUUGGCAUCAGAUAUGAAGUCACAUCAACCAAAUUCUCACGAGAUAUCUACAAAGAGCUUCUGGUAUCAUUAUUUGCCUCUGUUUUCAUGGGUUUUGGUGUUUUGUUCCUGUUACUCUGGGUCGGAAUAUAUGUAUGACAUUUGGACAGGUAAGAAUCAGUGUUUUUUUACCUGCUUCCAUUCACUUCACCCUUUUCAUACCAACCUGUGCUAAGACUCUCUCGCUGCUUCUAACGAUGCAAAUUCACCAUUGUAAUCUAAAUUAAAACCUUUCAUUGAAACUUCUUGCUAAUAUAUUUUCAAAAUCAGUCGAAACAAAGACAUUAUAUUUCAAUGGACAUAUGGUAACAAAAGCGUUACUAGUUUAUAUUCAAUUUUUUUUUACUAUAAUAAAUAAUUUGUUUAUUUCACAGUUUAGGCUGAAUGACUCUUGUUUUCAGUUUUUUACAUCAGUUUUUGUCUUAUUCAAUAAUAUAAUUAGACACACACAUAUAUACAUUUCAAAAAUCAGAUUUACUUCUGUUUUUUUUCAUGCUGGCAUGGGUUGGAAGGGUUGUCAUAUUUGUAAUAAUUUCUUAUUGAGAGUUUUCAUAGACUAAUACUUGAAGGUGUCAUUUAGCUUGGUUUCUACAGCUUCAUGCCCUUCCCAUCAUAAGUCACUUUACAGUGUGUACUGGGUGCAGAUUUAUACCAUGGACUCACCUGUUGUUUACAACAGGUGGAGGUUCUGCAGUUUUUUGCUGAACAACCUGCACAGGUGACUUGUCUAUAGUGAUCAAACGUAUGUGCUGUACAUCAGCUCACCUGCCUCCAUCAAAUAAACAUUGGCCAAACAGGUGCAUGGUGUACCACGUAUCAGGUGACAAAGUGAUCAAAGAGCAGCCUGAGGUGGUGAAGUGUCUUGCUCAAGAACACAAGGCACCACUUGAUCCAGAUAUUGAAAUCACAACCUUGCAAUUGCGAAUGCAGCACGCUUGACCACUAGGCCAUGCACCCUCACUUAUGUACAUACACUGCACUUUACAUUUUGUUUACUUGUUAUUGCACAUAUUGAAUCCUUCAAAUGUUUUCUCAUACAAAGAUCAUCAUCAUCAUCGUUUAACGUCCGUUUUCCGUGCUAGCACAGGUUGGACAGUUUGACCAGGGUCUUGGAAGCCAGGAGGCUGCACCAGGCUCCAGUCUGAUCUGGCAGUGUUUCUGCGACUGGAUGCCCUUUCUAACGCCAACCACUCCAUGAGUGUAGUGGGUGCUUUUUACAUGCCACCCGCACAGGUACCAGGGGAGGCUGGCAGCGGCCACGAUCGGUUGGUGCUUUUUACGUGCCACCGGCACAGAAUCCAGUCAAGGCGGCGCUGGCAUCGGCCACGUUUGGAUGGUGCUUUUUAUGUGCCACCGGCACAGGUAUCACAACUACUAUUUCCAUUUGAUAUUUAUUUCGAUAUUGAUGUACUUGACUCAAUAGGUUUCCUCACUCUUCAAAAACUAUAGAUACACCCAUACACAGAGUCUGGUUCCGCCUUCCAGCUUGCCAGCCCUGGUCAAACCGUCCAACCCAUUCCAGCAUGGACAAUGGACACUAAAUGAUGAUGAACGAUGCUGGUGCCAAGUAAAAAGCACCUGUUAUACUCUGUGAAGUGGUUGGCAUUAGGAAGAUAAUCCAGCUGUAAAAACCUUGCCAAAACAGACCAUGGAACUUAAUGUGGCCCCUGGCCUUGCCAGUUCCUCUCAAGCCAUCCAACCCAUGCCAGCAUGGAAAAACGGACAUUAAAUGUUGAUAAUGAUGAUGAUGAUUAUUAUAUAGAUGUAUAUAAUAAAUGUUUCCACAUACCACAAUGUGUGCAUACAUACAUUUUCUUUUUUAUUUACUUAUUUUGAUAAAUAAUGGUUUGUUUUAUAUUUCCAGAGAUCAUUCUGAUGGAUGGCUGAUAGACUGGAGUGAAAAACAUUCAACAAAAUUCAUUCAAUAAAAUCUAUACUGUUUCUACAUAC
RNAcentral lists this long non-coding RNA (29241 nucleotides) under Octopus vulgaris (common octopus). Lineage: Eukaryota; Metazoa; Mollusca; Cephalopoda; Octopoda; Octopodidae. The record is from RNAcentral.